GAAUAUUGGUCAAUAGCCUAACGGCUGAACCAGCAACUUGGAAGAAUGAAUGGCAAUAGCCAGUUACAUUACAAAAAAAAUUGUAGUGUGAAAUUGACUCUGUCGAAUAAAGUUCUGGGUGGAAUAUUGAUAAUGACAUAUUCUGUCUAUUUGUCUUGACCAAAUUACGUGCCAGCAGUCGCGGUAAUACGUAAAAGACUAGUGUUAUUCAUCUUUAAUUGGUUUAAAGGGUACUUAGACGGUAAAUCAAGCCAAGAUAGAAAAGGUACUAAUUUACUUGAGUAUUAUGUGAGAUGCAUAUAUAGUUGUAUUCUUGAGAGAAGAGAUGAAAUUCUGUCAUCCGUCGAGGUUACGGGUAAAAGCGAAAGCGACCAUCUAUGUAAAUACUGACGUUGAAG
This 398-nucleotide ribosomal RNA is filed under the name Rhizocarpon geminatum. Its description in RNAcentral is "SSU rRNA". It matches the Rfam family "Bacterial small subunit ribosomal RNA", at positions 359 to 751 of the family's 1533-position model. The record is from RNAcentral. Lineage: Eukaryota; Fungi; Ascomycota; Lecanoromycetes; Rhizocarpales; Rhizocarpaceae.